NNNNNNNNGCGCUGGUGGGGGCUGACCAGGGGCGCGGACUCAAGUGAAGCAGGGGGUCAGGUGCCUCGGUGGCGACUUGGCUCUGGUGCGGUGGGCGAAGGCUCUGCCCACUUUCUGCUUCUUUUGUUUUUAAUACGAAUGACUUUUUCUGAUGACUUACUGGUCGCUCCUCCUAGCUUACCUGGGGCUCUACCGUUCUCAGCGGACAGAGAAUGCUGCUCUUCUAGUUUUUAUUAUUUAGCUCUUCUCAGUCUUCAGAGUGACUACGCCUCAGAGACCGUUCUCCCAGAGGCCAGGAAGCCGUAAUCCUCUGAAAGCCCUUCACACCAACGCGGGAGGUGCUCCGUUCACUCGCCGACACGGUGCGCGGUGCCCG
RNAcentral lists this long non-coding RNA (376 nucleotides) under Mustela putorius furo (domestic ferret). RNAcentral's name for it is "lncRNA (ENSMPUG00000029469.1)". The record is from RNAcentral. Lineage: Eukaryota; Metazoa; Chordata; Mammalia; Carnivora; Mustelidae.